CCUGUAGCUGAACUCACUCAGAGGAAGCCGUCAGUUUGGUCUGAAGGUGAAUCUGGUCGUCUGUCUGUCGCUGCGUCUCUUCUCACUGAGAACCGAACAGGAACUGACUGUCUCCUGGUUUGUCUGUUUUACUGUUCGGAGAACCUUCUGUCAAGCCCUGGGAGCAACCAUCAGCCUCUCCUCCGGAUUCCACCCUCAGUCCAACGGUCAGACGGAGAGGGCCAACCAGGACCUUGAGGCAGGCCUUCGUUGUGUAGCUGCCUCCAAUCCAUCCUCCUGGAGCUCCCAACUCCCCUGGGUUGAGUAUGCACACAACUCACUUACCUGUGCUGCUUCUGGUCUCUCUCCCUUCGAGUCUUCGCUAGGGUACCAGCCUCCUCUGUUCCCAUCCCAGGAGAGUGAGCUUGUGGUCCCGUCAGUACAACAUCACCUCCGCCCGUUGCCACAAAGUAUGGAGGGAGACCGAGCAGCACAGCACUUCUCCGAUCGGCAGAGAAGAACCGCCAGAUCGCAGACCGACACCGGAUUCCAGCGCCCACAUACGAACCAGGUCAGAAAGUUUGGUUAUCCUCCAAAAAUAUCCCAUUACGGACCGAAUCCAAGAAACUGUCUCCCCGCUACAUUGGUCCGUUUAUCAUUGAUUGCUUCUGCCGUCAGAUUCAAAUUACCCCGCUCCAUGAGAGUUCACCCCACAUUUCAGGUUUCGUAACUUAAACCAGUCUCUUCCAGCACUUUGUCCAGGUCUACACGUCAUCACCUGCCCCAAGCUUCGGAUCAGUCAGUCCAUGUCUACACAUCGCCGCUAACGCCACGCAUCGGAGUCGCUGCCUGUCCAAGUCGCCACUUCUACCCGUGUUCUGCAUGCUUGGCACAUCAUGAUAAACGAGAGGCAGCGCGAGAGCUGCUGAGAGCGCGAAGCACCUCAGACGCACUCGGUGGUUUCUCUGAGGUUUCACGCUUCUUCUGAGAAGGAGGAGGUCCUGGCUUUUUCUCAUCAGCGAGGUUUGAGCUGGAGGAUGUUUGCACCGUGGUGGGCUCGUUGACUGUGGAUUUCCCCCCCCCACCCCUCUCAUCUUCACAGUCUCGUCUUCAUCUUCAUCUCAUCAGAAAAACAGCUGCAGGAGAGGAAAUCGAUCAGCAGCAGACAUCAGAUUAUCUGCAUUUACCGUCAGGUAUUUUCCUCUCUUGUGACAGGAAAAUACCUGACUGUAAAUGUUUCUUUGUAUCUACAUUGCAUUUAUUUAGCUAACACAGCAACUUGCAAUAAGUGCAUUUCAACCAUGUGGAUAAUACAACCCAAAUAUUGCAAGAAUCACGCAGUUCAUCGAAUACGCUGAACUGCUUCAAGUGCUGCAUUUAGAAACAAUAAGAGAUGGAGAAAGAGCUUUCGACAGUUCUGUGUUCAGAGUUGUGACUCAGGAGUGCGAUUUGCGACGCAGUCAAGUUAAAUUAAGCACCUUAACUGCCUCCACGAGCUGUGUGUCACACUGACCUUCUGACCUUCCGUCUAGCGCCAACCAUCAGGUCGACAUGUUAGCGUGUGCAACGCUUCGGUUCACGACUAACGGCGUUCCCAUCAGCCUCAGCUGUGCUUUGUGUUUACUGCUAAUUAGCAAAUGUUAGCAUGCUAACACGCUAAACUAAGAUGUUGAACACGGUAAACAUUAUACCUGCAGAACGUCAGCGUGUUAGCAUGCUGAUGUUAGCAUUUAGCUUAAAGCACGGCUGCACACUCUUAGCGUUGUUCAAUAAAGUAAUCAAUAAAAAAAACUUGUAAGCAGAUCUGUAACUGCAGGUUUCUGAAAAUAGGUGAUGACAUGUUUAAGUGCAUUUAGGAUUGUACGGUAACUUUGUCGUAAACUGGCGCAAAUACAUUUCUUUGUGUUGUUUCAUGGUGUGUUUUUUUUAGGGAAAGUAUUUGGGAUUUAUUUUUGGCCAUGUCCGGAAAACCACGUCUCUACAAAGUUUUAUGUCCGGCGAAGAUUAUCUCUCUGUCUUCCCGCUCAAUUAGUAUUUUAGAAAGUGGUGAAACAUGUGACUGUUAGUUUGAACUGCAGGGCUUCCUCUGACUCUCUCGGCGCUGAACUCGGAGCGAGCUCCACAACAACUUGUGGUUGUUGCUCGUGGAGUUUGUUUUCCGGGAGCCAUGUGUUUGUGGUCGUCGCUAAACGCGGGUCAGCAGGCCGCAACCGCAGCAGCUUCCUGCCACGAUCUCUGUUCCCGGCGCUCUGCGUCCGGCUCACGCCGCAAACCAACUUCAUUUCCAGAAGGAGCUUCUUGUUCCCGCAGUGUGAUUGGAUCUGAGCGUUGGUUCCUUUUUCUUUCCAAAUCCACAGUCAGCUUUUACCACUUUUUAUUUUUUUUAGCCACAAGCUACAGAAGAGGUUGCCGCCGCUCGUACCUGCUACACCUUCCUCCAGCCAAUUUUACAAUAUUUCUCGUUUUACCGGUUUUAGUGGUCACGGUGUCGGCCGGUCGUCCACUUUGCUCCAGACUGAAACAUCUCAACUACUAUUGGAUGGAUUGCCGUGACGUUUAUGGUCCCCAGAGGAUGAACUGUAAUAACUUCUGUGACCCUCUGACUUUUCAUCAUCAGGUCAAAGUUUUUAUUCUGCGACCAAAUACCUGCAAAACUUAACUCUUAACAGAAAGAUUAAAUGCAUCGCAGAAGGCACGAGCACAUGCAGUUUGUGAUUUCUGUCGCAUUUGAUUUGUUUUUUUAAACACACUGUGUAAAUUAGAUUCGGCAUGUGGCUGUUGGAUCAGAAACAGACACGCGACCCAUUUUGAAUUAUGAGCCGAAGCUUUAAAAAUGCUGCCUCAAUUCAAUUCAAACUUUAUUUCUAUAGCAGCUUCCAGCAACCGAAACUGAACCAAAGUGCUUCACAACAUUAAAAACAAGAUAAAAAAAAUAAUAAUAAUGAUAAUAACAAAUAAUAAUAAAAGUACAAAUCAUCGUGUAUGUGUCACAUUAUUUGCUUAAAACCACCAGCAUAUAUUUAUUUUAGGCUUCGGACAUUUGAGAUCGUGUCGAAAGCUCAGUCACACUACUGUCACAGUACAAUUCUGACGUACUUGUACUUUACUUGAGUAUUUCUUUGUACUCGUACUCCACUACAGCAGCAUUAAAGUGAUGAACACAUUAACGAAUCAGUAAUUAUAAUUAACAAUUAUAUAAUAUACAUGAAAUAGGUCAUUCUGCAUAACGAGACUUUCGGUGCUUUAACAUCUUGAUGCUUUUGUACUUAAGUGACAUUUUGAAUGCAGGACUUUCACUUCACUACACUGUGGCGUUACUACUUUUACUUAAGUAAAACAUCUGAGUACUCCUUCCACCAACGAUGGCCAUUAACUGACUUCCUUCCUGCGUUAGCUGUUCGCUUGAUGGAGACGACACUGAAGUCAGAUGAUGGAGAAAGAGACGAG
Long non-coding RNA from Siniperca chuatsi (mandarin fish), 3426 nucleotides. RefSeq lists it as uncharacterized. The record is from RefSeq and is a predicted model, not a curated record. The transcript has 3 exons. Lineage: Eukaryota; Metazoa; Chordata; Actinopteri; Centrarchiformes; Sinipercidae.